AGUUAACGUUGGCGGCGUGCCUAACACAUGCAAGUCGAACGCGUCCUAAGGGCAACUUUAGGAUGAGUGGCGAACGGGUGAGUAUCACGUGGGUAAUCUUCCUUCAAGUGGGGGAAUAAGCUCUCGAAAGGGAGUCUAAUACCGCAUGACAUUCCGGGACACAAGUCCCGUAAUCAAAGCCGCAAGGCGCUUGAAGAUGAGCCUGCGUCCUAUUAGCUAGUUGGUGGGGUAACGGCUCACCUAGGCGAAGACGGGUAGCCGGCCUGAGAGGGCGAACGGCCACACUGGAACUGAGAUACGGUCCAGACUCCUACGGGAGGCAGCAGUGGGGAAUAUUGGGCAAUGGGGGAAACCCUGACCCAGCGACGCCGCGUGGGUGAAGAAAUCCUUCGGGAUGUAAAGCCCUGUUGUAUGGGAAGAGCGGAAGACGGUACCAUACGAGGAAGCCCCGGCAAACUACGUGCCAGCAGCCGCGGUAAGAGUCACGUCG
This 490-nucleotide ribosomal RNA is filed under the name uncultured bacterium. RNAcentral describes it as "bacterial SSU rRNA". It matches the Rfam family "Bacterial small subunit ribosomal RNA", at positions 29 to 534 of the family's 1533-position model. The record is from RNAcentral.